This 70-nucleotide transfer RNA is filed under the name Plaxiphora albida. RNAcentral describes it as "tRNA-Arg". The record is from RNAcentral. Lineage: Eukaryota; Metazoa; Mollusca; Polyplacophora; Chitonida; Mopaliidae.
GCCCUAAGAAUGAAAGUUCAUGAUUGGUUUCGGCCCAUUUUAAAGUAAAAUUAACGUUUACUUUAGGGUU